RNAcentral lists this ribosomal RNA (301 nucleotides) under uncultured bacterium. RNAcentral's name for it is "partial 16S ribosomal RNA". It matches the Rfam family "Bacterial small subunit ribosomal RNA", at positions 509 to 807 of the family's 1533-position model. The record is from RNAcentral.
CAGCCGCCGCGGGAAUACAGAGGGUGCAAGCGUUAAUCGGAUUUACUGGGCGUAAAGGGCGCGUAGGUGGUUAUUUAAGUGAGAUGUGAAAGCCCCGGGCUUAACCUGGGAACUGCAUCUUAUACUGGGUAACUGGAGUGCAGUAGAGGGUAGUGGAAUUUCCGGUGUAGCGGUGAAAUGCGUAGAUAUCGGAAGGAACACCAGUGGCGAAGGCGGCUACCUGGACUGAGACUGACACUGAGGCGCGAGAGCGUGGGGAGCAAACAGGAUUAGAUACCCCAGUAGUCCCUGUCUCUUAUAC